Molecule: ribosomal RNA, 252 nt
Filed under: uncultured bacterium
Lineage: Bacteria
Description: partial 16S ribosomal RNA
Rfam family: Bacterial small subunit ribosomal RNA
Source: RNAcentral
CCCUACGGGACGCAGCAGUGGGGAAUAUUGCACAAUGGGGGAAACCCUGAUGCAGCGACGCCGCGUGAGUGAAGAAGUAAUUCGUUAUGUAAAGCUCUAUCAGCAGGGAAGAAAAUGACGGUACCUGAGUAAGAAGCCCCGGCUAACUACGUGCCAGCAGCCGCGGUAAUACGUAGGGGGCAAGCGUUAUCCGGAUUUACUGGGUGAAAAGGGAGCGUAGACGGCAGUGCAAGUCUGGAGUGAAAGGCGGGG